Molecule: long non-coding RNA, 1427 nt
Organism: Ctenopharyngodon idella (grass carp)
Lineage: Eukaryota; Metazoa; Chordata; Actinopteri; Cypriniformes; Xenocyprididae
Exons: 3
Source: RefSeq, a predicted model, not a curated record
UUUGCUGUAAAUAGAUCAGUUCUGUCCAUGUGCUCUGUUUUCCAUGUAUUAGAGGGAGCUGGCAUGUCACUGAGCCUCUGUGCUUUGCAUAUGUGUUGUGUGAUUACAGCGGUGGAAGCAGCCAGCUGUCCAUGAAGACAGCAGAGGCUUACAGAUUUGCUGCACAGCUCUGGGGCAAUGGCAUUACACAACACGUUGGCAGGAAGAGCUUUGUGCACACGAGAGACUGUGGCCAUCGAAGCUCUGGAUGAGACCAGAGAAACUGUCAUACAGCUGGCUCUAGGUGUCACCGGCCGCCAGAUGCAUCAACCACCUCCCAGAGACCUGUCGCAUCAUUAAGCCAUCAGCACAUCACUGCGGACAGAGAGAAAACAGGCCGUGGCAGGGACUAAUCCAGCUGCAAACCUGUCCAGAUGAAUAAUACAUCGGCCUAUCAGACAAAUGUUCAGCUAAGCAGGAGUGGACCACCGUGCCCUGCUCGAGAGGGUCCAGAGAUUGACUUCCUUCCAUUAGGCUCCUCCGUUGGACUCGAGACCUCGCUCUGUUCCCAUGGCUCUCUGAGGAGGGUUGGCCGCAGCACCUGGGGGUAAGGACAGGCGAGGCGAGAGAAAAGGACACUAAAGGAUGAGGAGGCACAGAGGCAAGAGAGAGGGGAGAGGGAAAAAAGAAAAACCGACCACACUGGCUUUCUACUCCUUCGACACCUGGGGGACAAUAACGGCUCCCUCGGCUGGGGGCGCCCGGUAACUAGCCCCCUGCCUGCUUCUCCUUUACAUGGCAGACGGUAGUAGGUCUGGCCUCCGGUGAACAGUGGCAACUCCAUCCCCUCACAGGACGGCAGCUGCCCCUCCUUGACCCAGGCGGAUGCCAGCGAGCUUCCGUCCAUCACUCCAGCACCACCGCCUCAGGCAGCCACUGGCAGACUCCUUCGUGCUGCUGACCUCCUCAGCACCAUAAGCCCCCUCUUUGACAGCAUGUUCUUCCUUCCUCUGGGGUUUCAGCACCAAUAUAACAAAGUUUGUUGAUAAGAGAAGGAGGAGGCAGGAACCAGCGAACUUUUAACGCAAUUUUAGUACAAAACAAAACAAGAAAAAUAAAAAAAUAAAACAAAACAAAAUAAAAGCCCCUUCACGGAUGACAGCUGCAUAAACUAAAACAAAACAACAACAUAAAGUCCAGGCCUGUUCCUCUCUCAUCUUCCAUUGUCAUCAGUACUCCUUUUAUCUUUCCGCAAAUUAUGUAACAUCAUUUAGACACCACUUUUCUCCUCUGAUGGCCUUUCAAAAGUUUCUGUGUUUUGACAAUGUUGUAAUCAUAGUAUUUUUAAAAUCAUAAAUAUUUCAUCAUACCAUGUGACACCAUCUUGACGCAAAACAAAACAAAACACAUUUUUUUCUCCAUUAACCUUUCAUAAUUUGCUGUGUAUU